Molecule: ribosomal RNA, 577 nt
Filed under: uncultured bacterium
Lineage: Bacteria
Description: bacterial SSU rRNA
Rfam family: Bacterial small subunit ribosomal RNA
Source: RNAcentral
CCUACGGGAGGCAGCAGUAGGGAAUAUUGGGCAAUGGACGCAAGUCUGACCCAGCCAUGCCGCGUGCAGGAUGAAGGCGUUAUGCGUUGUAAACUGCUUUUAUACAGGAAGAAACGACUCUUGCGAGAGGCAUUGACGGUACUGUAUGAAUAAGCACCGGCUAACUCCGUGCCAGCAGCCGCGGUAAUACGGAGGGUGCAAGCGUUGUCCGGAUUUAUUGGGUUUAAAGGGUGCGCAGGUGGUUUAUUAAGUCAGUGGUGAAAGACGGUCGCUCAACGAUUGCAGUGCCAUUGAAACUGGUAGACUUGAGUAAAGUAGAGGUGGGCGGAAUUGAUAGUGUAGCGGUGAAAUGCAUAGAUAUUAUCAAGAACUCCAAUUGCGUAGGCAGCUCACUUGGCUUUUACUGACACUCAUGCACGAAAGUGUGGGUAUCAAACAGGAUUAGAUACCCUGGUAGUCCACACUGUAAACGAUGAUAACUAGGUGUCGGCCGAAUCUGGUCGGUGCCACAGCGAAAGCGUUAAGUUAUCCACCUGGGGAGUACGCCGGCAACGGUGAAACUCAAAGGAAUUGACGG